UUUUAGUCUACUACUAAGAUUCGUCAAUCUGUUGUUGAAACAUUCAUUCAGCAGUGUCAGUUUUUCUUUUAAAAUGGAGAAAUUGUAGAAAUGACAAAUAUUGUGGCUCCUCCACCACCUUCACACCCAGGAGAGUUGGUGGAACCAAUGGUACCACUUCAGUUGCUGCCACCAUUGCAACCUCAGCUGACACAACCACAAUUACAAACAGAUCCUCUUGGUAUUAGAUGA
RNAcentral lists this long non-coding RNA (231 nucleotides) under Homo sapiens (human). Its description in RNAcentral is "non-protein coding lnc-LOX-8:1". The record is from RNAcentral. Lineage: Eukaryota; Metazoa; Chordata; Mammalia; Primates; Hominidae.